Molecule: long non-coding RNA, 1038 nt
Filed under: Nicotiana benthamiana
Lineage: Eukaryota; Viridiplantae; Streptophyta; Magnoliopsida; Solanales; Solanaceae
Description: long non-coding RNA (NBEN_LNC016786)
Source: RNAcentral
AACAACAACAACAACAACAACAACUACCCAGUAUACUCCCACCAGGUGGAGUCUGGGGAGGGUAAUAUGUAGACGAGCCUUACCCCUAUUAUAUUUAUGUUGUAUGAUAUUAUAGUUGUAUAUAACUGAGUAGAAAUAAUGUACGAAAAUUAUAGAUAAAUUACAUAAUAUAUACUUAGUUGUAUGAAAUUUAUUUUUACUAUGUAUAAAUCAUAUACAAAAUAUAUAAAAGACAUAUUGUAUAAAAUUUGUAUUUAAGCUGUAUUUAACCGAGUAAAAAUAAUGUGUGAAAGUUAUAGAUAAAUUAUAUAUGAAUUGUAUAAUAUAUAAUUUAUUGUAUGAAAUUUAUUUUACUAUGUAUAAAUUAGAUACAAAAUAUAUAAAAGACAUUAUAUAAAAUUUAUAUAAAAAUUAUAUUUAAGUGAUAUUAUAUUGUAAUUGAAUAUAACUGAAAGGUGAGAGAGUCUUUGGCAAAGGUGUCUUCGUGGACGUACACUGCUUUCUUCACGAGUAGCUUUCGGAGAGAAUCCCAUCUCCGAUAGAUUUCCUAUCGUAGCUUUCUUCACGAGUAGCUUUUGCAGAGAAUCCCAUCUCCGAUAGAUUUCCUAUUGUAGCGCUCCAUCUCUCACUACCCACUUUCCCCUUCUCCUCAGCUAUCCGAACCAGGACCGGCUCCUAAAAUAUAUCACAGUUGACUCGUUAGUUGGAGCAAGUUCGUGUUUAGUCCCUUGAGUUAAAUUUUGAUUUAUGAAUUGGUUGGGUUUCGGAAGUGGCUGAUGGCCUGUGGUAGCUCCUUUAAUUUGGUAGCAGGCAACAAAUCUAGAUUAUUUAAAAUCGAGACAUAAAUGCGGAAAAACUUUUGUAACAGAACUAUGAUUGAGGAGAUAGGAAAAAAAGAAAAAGUAUAAAGAGAGGUAAAAUAGUCGUGGACUUUGUAGAAGCAAAAUCUACACUGUGAUUUGCUUGUUUAGCCAUGGAAGGGUUAGUUUUAAAUUUGGGGCAGUUCAUAAUUAUAUUCUUUUUCAAGCCAUAGCUUUU